RNAcentral lists this ribosomal RNA (498 nucleotides) under uncultured bacterium. RNAcentral's name for it is "bacterial SSU rRNA". It matches the Rfam family "Bacterial small subunit ribosomal RNA", at positions 28 to 523 of the family's 1533-position model. The record is from RNAcentral.
GAUGAACGCUAGCGGCAGGCUUAAUACAUGCAAGUCGAGGGGCAGCACGGUUAGCAAUAACUGGUGGCGACCGGCGCACGGGUGCGUAACACGUAUACAAUCUACCUUAAACAGGGGGAUAGCCUUUCGAAAGAGAGAUUAAUACCCCGUAAUAAAUUGAACGGCAUCGUUUGAUUUUGAAAGCUCCGGCGGUUUGAGAUGAGUAUGCGUCUGAUUAGCUAGUUGGUGAGGUAACGGCUCACCAAGGCGACGAUCAGUAGGGGAUCUGAGAGGACUAACCCCCACACUGGUACUGAGACACGGACCAGACUCCUACGGGAGGCAGCAGUAGGGAAUAUUGGUCAAUGGAGGCAACUCUGAACCAGCCAUGCCGCGUGCAGGAUGACGGCCCUAUGGGUUGUAAACUGCUUUUGAUAGGGAACAAAUGCCACUUGCGAGUGGAGCUGAGUGUACCUAUAGAAUAAGCACCGGCUAACUCCGUGCCAGCAGCCGCGAUAA